UGUUGGUACAUCAGUGUUUAUUCCAUGCAGCAGUUUGCUUAGAUUUUAUUUUUCCUGGUGCCCAUUGCACACUAUGGUACACUGGAUAAUACAGGAAAAUGAGAGGAUUGGUUGAUCAUAAUGCCAUUCAAGAGAAGACAAAGAAACAAACCCUGGGUAUGUAUGGCUGAGGAGGUGGUUUACCGUGAAAGACACAGAAACUCAAAUGUCACUGGUACCUUGGGAUAGUGAGAGACAGGGAGUUGGAUCCAGAGGAGAAUGGUCUGAUAUUAAUCUGUUCUGAGACCAAGUCUCUCUAAACCUUCUCUGCCAUGGAACUGUCAUUCAAUCCAAAGCUGCAUUCCUGCAUACUCUCAGGUAAUAACACUGCUCAGACAUAUUCAGUGGCAGCUUGAUUUCAAGCUUGGAAAAUCCAAUGAUAUGUGCCAUGAACAGGGAGGGUUAUAUUGUGGGCCCUAGGAGGAAUAGCGGAAAAAGAAAAUUCUGACAAACUAUGGUGGCGAAAUGGGUCGGCAGCACCCUUGCUGUUCAGAGUGGGUUUGAGACCCUGGUUCUAGCUGUGGAUGGACAGCAGAGGAAGGCCAGCUACUAUUUCCACUGACUGCUCCUCCUGAGACUGCCCAGAGGAAGUACAACAUGGCUAUAUAGUUUGCCCAGAGGAAGUACAACAUGGCUAUAUAAAACCUACAUCACCUUUUCUACUCCUCAAGUUUGUUAUGCCCCACCCUCUUUACAACACUCCUUUGAAUGUAAUUCUUGAGGUAUUUUUUGUAUGGCCUCUUCAAGCCCCCCACAACAUUUCCAGAGUAUUAUAAUCUGGAUUUAGAUUCUGCCAUUCUAUAAUGAUUCUACUUUCAGCCAUUUGAUGGGAUGAUAAAGACUGAUGCAUUAACUUUGCAUAAGGAACAUGCGGUUCAGUUUAUUUAAAUUACACAUAUACACACAUAUAUAUAUAUACAUAUACAUAUAUACACAUAUACAUAUAUGUGUGUAUGAUUGCUAGCAGUAGUAUAUUAGUGUAAUUUUGUCAGUGUUUUUUAUUCAGUCAGGAUACCUUUAUCCCUCAUUAGUGCGGAAAAAAGACACCACGUGUCAAAAUGAGGAACAAUACAAGAUUUUAGGUGGUAUCCUCACAGCACUGUAUAUUAAGUUGAUUCAGAAGCACCCUUGAUAAAGAAGAGCAAAAAAGACAGAAUGAAAGAAAUAUAUACAAAGUCUGAGCUUUUUCCUAAUGUUUAUCAAAAGUGCAAUCAUGUUGAAUCUGUUUGAAUGCUUGAAUACUUUCCAGCAGAUUCCUAUAGCUUCCCAGAGCAGAAAGAGAAUACAAUAGUUAGAUUGUUCAACCAUACACACCCAAGACUGAUCAACAAAUUUUACAAAACCCAAAGAAUUAUGACAAUAAUACCUCUGAUCACCAUUCCUUACAAGGAAUUCCUUCACUCAUUAUACAGUUGUGCUUUCUUUAUGUCAAAUAAUACUUAUUUUAAAGAGAAAUCAUAAAGACAAGAGAAACAACCAUUCUAAAGCUGCCUGAAAUUAAAAAGAACUUAACUUUCCAGGACAGGACAUUGACAAUAAAUUAAUUCAAUAAUCAUGUAGGCCAGCUACAAAAAAAGCAAGAAAAAUAAUCAUAGUUGACAGGAUUUGUUGCCAGUAAGACAUUGUUAUUCACUCGUAUCAUAAGAGUGUCAUCUGAUUCCCAUAAAUGACACGUUUUUCUGCGUAAACACACUAAAGGAGGACUGGCUGGAACAGACAACAGGAGUCAGGGCCAGGCUGAAUCCCAAAUUGCACCCCAUAGGGCCCUGGUCAAAAGUAGUGGACUAUAAAGGAAACUGGGUGCCAUUUGGGACUCAAGGGUUAUUGGUAUUCUAUACUGAUUGGACUGUGGACUACAGACCGUGGUCAACCAACACAAGAGAUAUCCUGAAUUACAUCAUUAUUAAAUCACCCACAGCUUCGAGGUUCACACACUGGUCAUGUGACAGGGGUCAGAACAUACUACAGGUUAGAGGUCAUACAACAUGAAUACUUAGACAGACUGGCUGGUAACACUAAAAAGAGGUCUGUUAGAACAGGAGCAUCAGUCUACUUGUGGUCUUUAUGUCUCUGGUUGUAUUCCUUAACCUUCUGACCUUCAUUAAUUUAACUGAAGACAGAGUUUCAUACAAACGUUUGACCUCAUCUGUUAACCUUCAAUCCCCACUGGCCAUAAUCUGAAGUAAAACAAACGCUUUACACAAACAUGGAAACACAGACCAGGGAAAAAGGAUCCUAGGGUAUAUAGUUACAUGAGAUGCAGUAUCCCUUUUUAAAGAAGAUUACACAAAGGUGUAAACAAGACUGUGAUGAGAUGAUUAACUAAGAAGAAAACAAUCCUUAUCCUAUCAGACCAAAAGAAGUGUCACAAAUGGCGACCUAUUACCAAAAUAGCGCCCUGCUUUUGACCAUGGCCCUUUAGACCGAUGUCUAACGUAGUACAGUAUAUAGGGAAAAGAGUGCUCUUUGGAACACUAAUUAUGAAACAACACUAACACAGGGCAACAUAACCCAGAGUAGCUGCCGCCACCUUGUGGACAUUAUAUUGCUAUCGCGCACGCACGCACAUACACACUUUCUACAACUGAACCUGAGCGUCAAACCAGCCAAGGCAAGUUGGCAUCAUAUACAACAACUACUCUCAGUCUUUAAAAAUAUAGCUAUUUAAAAAGCCUGUCUGUCUGCCACUGACUAGAAAGCGGCAGUGCAUCUGUCCAGCCGGCUAGACAGCCCUGAGCUAAGGAUCACCUAUCACAUACAAUCUAUUACAAUAUCAUCUACUAACUGUCACCUGAGACUUGAUCCUACAUUAUUAUUGCUGUUUGGCGCCUGUUCCUUCCUCUGAUAUCAACCAUAUAACAUAGUUAGGUACAGUUAAAUAAAGUUACAUGGCUUACCACAAUCUACAACCAAUGCCUUAUGAACAACCCUGCAGAGAGAUGUGGAACAAACACUAAUGCCUUAAUUAAAAAUCCGACUAAGAUAUUUGAAACAAACACCAAUGCCUUAUGAACACCGCUAAGAGAAGUCAAACAAACACCAAUGUCUUCUCAAUAUCCCUGCUAAGAGAAGUGGAAUAAACACCAAUGCCUUCUCAAUAUCCCUGCUAAGAGAAGUGGAAUAAACACCAAUGCCUUCUCAUUAUCCCUGCUGAGAGAUGUUGAAGAACCAUCAAUGCCUUCUCAACAACCCUGUUAAGAGAUGUGGAACAAAUGGAUCAUAGCUGGGAUACUGCACCUCAGUGGUAACUAUGUUACAGCUUCCUACCUACCUGGCUAGCCAUUACAUCCGGCCUACCUAGCUAAUCAUUACAUCCGGCCUACCUAGCUAAUCAUUAGAUCUGGCCUACCUAGCUAAUCAUUAGAUCUGGCCUACCUAGCUAAUCAUUACAUCCGGCCUACCUAGCUAAUC
Molecule: long non-coding RNA, 3450 nt
Organism: Esox lucius (northern pike)
Lineage: Eukaryota; Metazoa; Chordata; Actinopteri; Esociformes; Esocidae
Source: Ensembl